GAAGCGACAUGUCUUUGCAAACGUAUGGGAGAGAAGUUUGGAUCCUCGUGGCGGAUGUCAUCCCAAUUCAUUUACGGAUACAUGGACGAUCGACUGGCGUCAGUGGCCACCGGACGUGCCAAGAAUUUCGCAGGGCGUCAAGAUUCCCAUCAACUUGGCUGUCAACUCAAGCCUUCGAGUUUUGGAGGCAACUCCUCUUAACUCGGGCAGCGUGGCCUUUUACCAGAGUCUCAAGGGUCUCUUCAACCCUUGUCAGACCUCCAGCCUCCAAGUCUCCCCACCCGCUCUCCUUUUCCUCAACAGUCGCAAGGGACAGUUCUACUCGGUGAAGCUCCAUCUGAAGAACGUGGACGUGGUGCCACACCGGGUCAAAAUAAUCCCACCCAAAAAUCAGUGUUUCAGCGUAGCAUGGACAAGCCACCGAACGUCCAUCGUUCCCGGUCUCGCCGUUCCCAUCCUCGUCCAGUACAAACCAGCCAGCAACGCCUCAGUCAAUGAGAUUCUCUAUAUCGUGGUCGAGGGGGCGGGCGGGCUGACAGUGCCUCUCAUUGCUUGCUCAGAGCCCCCACCAAUUUUGGAAUGUAAGGAAAUAUACACAUGGAUAAGUAUCAUAUAGCUUUGAGGACAAACCGUUUGUGAGAUUUGGUUUGUUUCUCCAGUUGAGGAGUGGGACUGUGGUUGCAGUGUCCUUCGUGUCGCCAGAACCACCAGCUUUGAAAUAAAGAAUGCUGGGAGUGAGGGACGCUUUUGGCUGCUCACAGAGGACGAGUUUCGA
Long non-coding RNA from Folsomia candida, 775 nucleotides. RefSeq lists it as uncharacterized. The transcript has 3 exons. The record is from RefSeq and is a predicted model, not a curated record. Lineage: Eukaryota; Metazoa; Arthropoda; Collembola; Entomobryomorpha; Isotomidae.